GGCGUGGAUAAGACAUGCAAGUCGAACGAGGUUAGUUUUGUAGCAAUACAGAACUGGCCUAGUGGCGAACGGGUGCGUAACACGUGACUGACCUGCCCAAAAGUGGGGGAUAGCUCGCCGAAAGGCGAAUUAAUACCGCAUGUGAUCGCAAGACCAAAGCAGCGAUGCGCUUUUGGAUGGAGUCGCGGCCUAUCAGCUUGUUGGUGAGGUAACGGCUCACCAAGGCUUUGACGGGUAGCUGGUCUGAGAGGACGACCAGCCACACUGGAACUGAGACACGGUCCAGACACCUACGGGUGGCAGCAGUCGAGAAUUUUUCUCAAUGGGGGAAACCCUGAAGGAGCGACGCCGCGUGGAGGAUGAAGGCUAUGGGGUUGUAAACUCCUGUCAUCUGGAACAAAACCCGCAAGGGCUG
RNAcentral lists this ribosomal RNA (415 nucleotides) under uncultured bacterium. Its description in RNAcentral is "bacterial SSU rRNA". It matches the Rfam family "Bacterial small subunit ribosomal RNA", at positions 41 to 463 of the family's 1533-position model. The record is from RNAcentral.